Molecule: non-coding RNA, 418 nt
Organism: Odocoileus virginianus texanus
Lineage: Eukaryota; Metazoa; Chordata; Mammalia; Artiodactyla; Cervidae
Source: RefSeq, a predicted model, not a curated record
AGGUAGCCAAGAUAACCCUGCUAAAGAAGCCAUAACCAACGGGGUGAAUAUUAGAGUUGUUCACAGAAAUAUUUCUGGUUCUGACUGGACUCACAGUAGGGCUGCAAUUCUCUACUCCCUAAAAGUUAAUACCCAGGAUGUCAGCAUUCUCCUUUCACUAGGCCACUUGCUCUCAACUGGGAUGUUAAAACUCAGGAUGCAGCAAUCAGCAACGAAGUGUGUUAUAAAUUACAACUAAAGGCUAGUGCAGACACGUUUCCAUGGUGAUAGCAAGGGGCAAGAGAAGUCACGUGGCAACACACAAGGACUUCGGAGGCACAGACUUGAAGUUGGCCUGCUACCACUUCCGCACCAUUCCUGGCUAAGAAGGCAUGAGACCAGCGCACCACUCAAGAAACAGAGAACGGGACUCUAUCUU